ACCGGAGUGUUCCAAGGGCAGGAUCGGCGGCUUUGAACCGCUCGAGUGGGGGUUCGAAUCCCUCCUCCGGUG
RNAcentral lists this transfer RNA (72 nucleotides) under Labilithrix sp. RNAcentral describes it as "tRNA-Gln". It matches the Rfam family "tRNA". Rfam says of the family: Transfer RNA (tRNA) molecules are approximately 80 nucleotides in length. The record is from RNAcentral. Lineage: Bacteria; Pseudomonadati; Myxococcota; Polyangiales; Labilitrichaceae.